This is an RNA transcript of Cyanidioschyzon merolae strain 10D, 1307 nucleotides long. RefSeq lists it as hypothetical. The transcript has a single exon. NCBI's taxonomy places the organism in Eukaryota, Rhodophyta, Bangiophyceae, Cyanidiales, Cyanidiaceae. The record is from RefSeq and is a predicted model, not a curated record.
GAUGGACAGAGGGGUUUUUUACACAGACUGGAGAUGCCUGCGAAGGCACGAAAGAAUAUAGAGAUUGGAUAAAGCGUUGCUCGUGCUUGACGCUACCCCCAAGUUGCAUUUACCAAGCACCCGUCUGGAGAAAACGGUCGUGUCGAACGUUCCACGGUGGGUCGAGUCUUUCAUAAGCACCCUCCAUAGCGCCUGUGGCGCUGGCGCAGGUGCACCACGGAGGCAGAACGGCUUUGCUAUGCCGCGAAGGGCAUCAGCAUGCGACUUGAUUCAUUCCAUGCGGGACCGGUAUUCAUCGUUAUCGAUUUAUGCUCCGACAGCCUGCGUACACUGACCUGCACUCGCGCCACGUUGCCUUGGAGACACUUGGCAGUUAGAAAGAAUUCUGGGGAGCGCGUUUCUCCUUCACCACCAUGUAUCGCGUGUGUUGACGUUUCGAUACGCGGACCUUUGCUCGGCUUACGCGAGUGACGAGGUGAACGAAUCCGUGAACCUGCAUGCUCGUCCUGCUCGAUGAAAUGCCUCCCGACUAGCAGCUAGUCGAUGUGCUGCUGAAUCCGUGAACCUGCGUGCUCGUCCUGCUCGAUGAAAUGCCUCCCGACUAGCAGCUAGUCGAUGUGCUGCUGAAUCCGUGAACCUGCGUGCUCGUCCUGCUCGAUGAAAUGCCUCCCGACGAGCAGCUAGUCGAUGUGCUGGUGCGUGUGCGGUUAGCGCCGCCUCUAACAACUUGGUGCGGGGCUAUCGCUCGAUGGACGCACGCCCGGCGCGAUUCACGAGGCUCUGUACGCUUGGGGACAACCCAGCGGCAUGAGUGCGCAACGACCGGGAAAAAUCGGACCGGAGGUCCUUCGUACACGACACGAUACGUGAACCGAUCCAGCCGUACUGUCAUGGAGCACGCAUCAUGAGGCUCCAAAAGACGUCGAGGCUGGGCCCAGUGGUCGCGAACGGCACGCUUCCGGUAUCGCCGGAUACCUCGGACGGACACGAGCAGCGCGUAAGCGUGCAUCAAUAUACCCACAGCAUCGAAAAGGGACUUUUUCAGAUGGAAACGGAACCUGUUCGCCGGAGUUGACGUUACCUUCGAGGCCCACGCGAGAAUCCAGAGCUGGACACGUGCGAUCUUGGACACCUGCUCAGUGCUGCUGCUGCUUCUGCUGCCUUACGACGGAUCGAUUCGGGACGAGCUUCCGAUUUUCGCAACGCUAACAGAGAACGUCUGUCGGAAAGUGCCUCCAGCUAGUGUCUGCAUAUCCGAACAGUACAAGGAUUCGCAUCGUUAUCACUUGUCAUGGGUAAAUACGUUU